UGUCAGGGACUGGUAUUGAGUGGUAAC
Molecule: non-coding RNA, 27 nt
Filed under: Homo sapiens (human)
Lineage: Eukaryota; Metazoa; Chordata; Mammalia; Primates; Hominidae
Source: RNAcentral